AGUACACCGUCACGCCCCCGUCCUGUUGGAGAGGGUGUCGCUGUGCAAGGAAUCAGUGGAGAGAAAAACCCUAACCCUAACCCUAACCCUAACCCUAACCCUAACCCUAACCAGUACACCAGUACACCGUCACGCCCCCGUCCUGUUGGAGAGGGUGUCGCUGUGCAAGGAAUCAGUGGAGAGAAAAACCCUAACCCUAACCCUAACCCUAACCCUAACCCUAACCAGUACACCAGUACACCGUCACGCCCCCGUCCUGUUGGAGAGGGUGUCGCUGUGCAAGGAAUCAGUGGAGAGAAAAACCCUAACCCUAACCCUAACCCUAACCCUAACCAGUACACCAGUACACCGUCACACCCCCGUCCUGUUGGAGAGGGUGUCGCUGUGCAAGGAAUCAGUGGAGCGAAGAACCCUAACGCGUACCCGUUCCUGCCCCCGUAUUCUACCCUUCCCUCGCUCUUGUCCCUGACCCGCUUUUUCGAGAAUGUGCAUCGGUGGUGUGAAUCGGUGUAAAGGAAUGAUCUAUCCCCCAUUUUUUUUUCUGUGAGGAAGUAGUGCAUAGCCUUUUUCUAUCAGAGCUGCUUUUCUGUGCCGUGCAUCGGGGGACUGUUACAGCGAGAGCUUGGUGACGCAGUGGUUUUUUUGGUGGUCGGAAAAGGUGCCGUCGGCCGGUACUGUUAAGGAGUUCGCUCAUUAGCAAGUUUUUUUUUCUCCUGGUUUUUUUGUUUGGUACCCAUGACCACUCCCAGAGGCGUUGUCCCGGUGUAGUUGGUGGUGCGUGGCCUUGUCCGUUGGGAAACACUACUGCCUGUCGUCUUGAUAGCUCACGAGUGAUUUCACUGCGUAGGAAUUCCUUGCGUUAUUAUAUGUUUAGCUGAGGGCUGCGGCUCAUAUUCUCAGCUUUGCGGUGCUGCAGUGUGGCGUUGCACAUCUGCAAGCGACACCAGUUUCAAAAAGGGCGACUAUGAUUUUGCAGCCGGCGAUUUGGAUGCUGAAAACGUGAGGACAGAAGUUUGCAGCCGUGUUGGGUCCACCGGCGUGUUGGUGGUCUCCAUUUUGCGGGGUCGAGCACCUUUCGCAGCGAUGCCGCUUCAACAAGCACGUAUGAAGCGUUAUCAUGGCUGUUCUCCUCCCGCCUGCACCGCAAUUGGUGACACGCUGCCGACUCUAAUGUCGUUAACUGCCUAGUGGGUUUAUUAUUUCAUGGGCAUAUAUUGGGCAAUGUGAUACCCUUGUUUCGCGCAAGGGACCAAUAAUGAUGGAAUCUCUUGCGAGGCGGCUUUGAGGAGCACCAUGGUGUUAGUUGAAGGAAAAACACCCCCCUCCCACCGGCCUUUUUCAUGCCAUCACUCUUUUCAGUGCCGUGCGCGCGCGGAAGUUGUGCUAUUAUUAUUUCGCUCUCUUCUAAUACUAGUUUGGAUAUUUUAGUGUGCAAUUACGCCUCCAAAGCUGCUGCUGCAACCUAGUGUCAGAGUGGUCUCUAGAUAGAGCCUGUGCGUUUUUGCCCGCGAUAUGGUGUCUGCCACCUGUUCGGCUGUAGAUGAAGUGAAAAGGUAAUUAGUGCUCAUCAGCUUGUUCUACACUGAACUGGGAUGCUGAUUCGUGCCUCAAAGGGCAAUGAUGAUCUUGAUGCGCGAGUUACACCUAGCGGAACUCGUGUGAGGACUUGUACACGUAAUUCUUCUGAGAUGUCCUUGUGAUCCAAUUUCUGCUGUUGUCAGUUGGAUGAUUCUGGUGUCGUUGCAGGUAGUGCUUAUCCUCUACGUGUAGGAGACGUGCGUACUCACCCAUACGUCGACGAUUGUGAGGCUCGGCUUUGGAAGCCGAGCGGGAUGUUGUAUGUGCUUUUGAGGCCUCCGUUCACUUGUGUAGCAUAGAGUUGCUCACAGCGGGUGGAAGGGAGCGAAACUGGUAUUUUUUGCGUUCGCUGUUCUCAGGAUUGAACUAAUGUGAUGAGGGCUGUCAUUGUUCUUGUGUUCGUAUGAGACUUGCCGGAUGAUGGGGGUUUUGCGAUGGGAGCUGCAGCAACUUCGACGCUGAGUGCAGGUUUUUCGAUAAGCGAUGCCAGGCUGGCAGUUGCGGCGCCGACUCUGACAGGUAUUCCUGAGCGACGGCUUCUCUUGUGUGCCGGUGUGUGGAAAAAUUCAGCUAAGUGCACAGGUGACGGCGAGCGCCAUUUCGAAUGCUGGCGGUGGUGUGUAUCGCUCGUAGUGAAAGUCACACGCACAGUUUCGGUUUUCUGCUAGGCUUGCUUAUUUUGCCAUAUAGUUUUGCAGAGCGUCUUUCCGGCGCUGUCUCUGAGCAAAGGCUUGUUCUGUCCUCGCUGAGUAGAUUUAUGAAGGUGUGCUCGUUAAGUGCAGUGUCUCUGCCCUACUCAAGUGUACAGAAGAAUGGUGAAUUCAUACGUCACCUGGAUGAAAUUUUUUGUUGAAUCGCUUCAUAGGAGGAUAAGCUUCUGGAUUCUGUGACAGUCUCGUAAAAGUUAUACACUGCUGUGUAGAGGAUGUGUGAAAACCGUCGUUGGACGUGUGCGAGGUAUAAAUGAUUUAGAUAUUUUUUUUCUAGAUUGUGUACUUAUCUGCUUUUCCAUGUGGACAGGUGCUCUCUGCGAAAAAAAAGCUAUAUCUCAAAGCAUUUUGUUAAUUAAAAAAGGUAAAAGUAUAAAGAGGAACCUUCUUUUCUUGGACUGUCGGUGGAGCACUUAGACGAUAUGUCGUUGUGGGGAAAUGGAGGGAGGGGAUCUGCACUGCUUGUUGUCGUUGUUCAAGCGACCUUUUUUACAGUGGCUUAGCGGAUCUUAUCUGUUCAAACAUUUUUUCUUGAUGGAGAAGAGGAGUUUUAGGUCCGUGUUUGUGUCUGGAAAGGCGAAGAGACGCUAGUGUGGUCGAGCAGCGUCGGUUAGUGGAAAGGGAAUCUGUGGCAACCACUUUUUUUUUUGAAUACUUAAAACAUAAAAUAUAGUGUGCUUACCCAUGUGAACCCCCCUAGUGUAUCGUGCCUGCGUCCUUUUUUUUCACUGUGUGAAACAGCUUUUUCCGGAAUAGAAUUUAUUAUUCAUGCACUCGUGUUGUUGUAAGUCUCUGGUUCUCCUUCAGCACAAUUAGCGAAAGGUGGAGGUUUGAUGAAAGACUUUUUGGGAAGCUCCGUGAUGGAGCUGCGAAGAAUGCCCUUGCGAAAGUAUGCUUUGCGUUAGUGCCUCUAGCCAGGUUUUUCGGUGCUUAUCUCUUACGUCCUUUCUACACCUCGCUUUCGUUGUCUUCGUCCUUUCUGAGAAG
RNAcentral lists this unclassified non-coding RNA (3275 nucleotides) under Leishmania donovani. RNAcentral's name for it is "gene:unknown". Lineage: Eukaryota; Euglenozoa; Kinetoplastea; Trypanosomatida; Trypanosomatidae. The record is from RNAcentral.